This 210-nucleotide small RNA is filed under the name Marmota monax (woodchuck). Lineage: Eukaryota; Metazoa; Chordata; Mammalia; Rodentia; Sciuridae. The record is from RNAcentral.
GCUGGGUGUGGUGGUGCACACCUGUAAUCCCAGUGGCUCCGGAGGCAGAGGCAGGAGAAUGGCAAGUUUGAAGUCAGACUCAGCAGCUUAGGGAGGCUCUAAGCAACUUGUUGAGAUCAUGUCUCUAAAUAAAAUAUAAAAAAGGGCUGCGGAUAUAGUUCUGUGCUAAAUUGCUGAGCUGGCCUUGAACUUGCCAUCCCCCUACCUCAG